UUCGCAAUGCCCGAAAGGGUGACGAAGCGACGCCGCGUGGGUGAGGAAGGCCUUCGGGUUGUAAAGCCCUGUCAGGAGUUAAGAAAUGUAGACUCGCUAAUAUCGGGUCUAUUUGACAAAGGCUCCAAAGGAAGCCACGGCUAACUCUGUGCCAGCAGCCGCGGUAAUACAGGGGUGGCAAGCGUUGUUCGGAAUUAUUGGGCGUAAAGAGCACGUAGGUGGAUUCGUAAGUCAGACGUGAAAGCCUUCUGUUCAACGGAAGAAUUGCAUCUGAAACUACAAACCUUGAGUGUAGGAGGGGAGAAUGGAACUUCUGGUGGAGCGGUGAAAUGCGUAGAUAUCAGAAGGAACGCCGGCGGCGAAAGCGAUUCUCUGGCCUAUUACUGACACUCAGUGUGCGAAAGCUAGGGGAGCAAACGGGAUUAGAUACCCCGGUAGUCCUAGCCGUAAACGAUGGGCACUAAGUAGAGGGGUUUU
Molecule: ribosomal RNA, 477 nt
Filed under: Candidatus Scalindua marina (nom. nud.)
Lineage: Bacteria; Pseudomonadati; Planctomycetota; Candidatus Brocadiia; Candidatus Brocadiales; Candidatus Scalinduaceae
Description: bacterial SSU rRNA
Rfam family: Bacterial small subunit ribosomal RNA
Source: RNAcentral